GCUACCUGCUGAGGCAGACAAGGAGAGGGUUUCCUGUGAUGGGAUCAGUCAGAUGCCUGCCUGGCCACUCCCCCUGAGGGGACCUGGGCUCCUCUUACCAUUGGCAGGCCGGUAUAAACUUGCGGCUCAGAUCAAGCUAUGCCUGAUGCUGCCUUAAGCCUUAUGAGGUCGCCAAGGAACCGCAGGUGAGGAUUCAGGAGAUAAUUCUGCAAACAGAACUUCCUGAGAACUGAGAUGGGGGAAAUCGCUGGUAUUAGAAGAGUGAAAAGGAACUCCUGGAGGGCAGAGGCAUGCCUGCCAUCUUCAUCAAUGCAUUACCACCACCCAACACUAUCGGGGGACCUGCCCUGAUAAUCAGGCUACAGGUGAAUCCAGCAGCUCCAGAGAGACAGCGACCAGCGAGAAGGGGCCAUGAUGAUGGUGGUGGUUUUGUCAAAACGAAAAGGGGGAUAUGUAGGGAAAAGAAAGAGAGAUCAGACUGUUACUGUGUCUACAUAGAAAGGGAAGACAUAAGAGACUCCAUUUUGAAAAAGACCUGUACUUUCAACCAUUGCUUUGCUGAGAUGUUGUUAAUCUGUAGCUUUGCCCCAGCCACUUUGCCCCAACCACUUUGACCCAAUCUGGAGCUCAUUAAAACAUGUGUUGUAUGAAAUCAAGGUUUAAGACAUGUAGGGCUGUGCAGGACGUGCCUUGUUAACCAAAUGUUUGCAAGCAGUAUACUUGGUAAAAGUCAUCACCAUUCUCUUGUCUCAAUAAACCAGGGACACAAUGCACUGUGGAAAGCCGCAGGGACCUCUGCCGUUGAAAGCUGGGUGUUGUUCAAAGUUUCUCCCCAUGUGAGAGUCUGAAAUAUGGCCUCGUGGGAUGAGAAAGACCUGACGGUCCCCAAGCCCGACACCUGUAAAAGGUCUGUGCUGAGGUGGAUUAGCCAAAGAAGAAAGCCUCUUGCAGUUGAGAGAGAGGAAGGCCGCUGUCUCCUGCCUGCCCCUGGGAACUGAAUGUCGCGGUAUAAAACACGAUUGUACAUUUGUUCAAUUCUGAGAUGGGAGAAAAACCGCCCUAUGGUGGGAGGCGAGACAUGUUUACAGCAAUGCUGCCUUGUUAUUCUUUACUCCACUGAGAUGUUUGGGUGGAGAGAAACAUAAAUCUGGCUUACGUACACGUCCAGUCAUAGUACCUUCCCUUGAACUUCAUUAUGACAUAGAUUCUAUUGCUCA
Molecule: long non-coding RNA, 1217 nt
Filed under: Homo sapiens (human)
Lineage: Eukaryota; Metazoa; Chordata; Mammalia; Primates; Hominidae
Description: long non-coding RNA NONHSAT198211.1
Source: RNAcentral